CUUAAGGAAGAAUGAAAACUUCUGCUCAUACUUCUCAUGAAUGCUUUUAUUUUCAAGGUCAACCAAAUGUUUUUUCAGGAAAGACUAAUGCACUUUUCUUCAAGCGAUACACCGUAAAAUGUUUCUCCAAGAUUAUCCUGUCUCUGAGCUGAGGACAACCGGCUCUCGGUACACACGAAGGGGAGAAGUUGACUCAUACAGAUGUGCAUGGACACAGCCUGUGCUGGAUCGUGGAGGCUGUUGUGGAAAUCACAGUGAAGGCUGCUUCCCUUUGAGCUGGCUUCAUUCAAGUGACAGCAAAGAUGGACAUCAGUAGAUACAGAUUUAUAUUCUAACA
Molecule: long non-coding RNA, 337 nt
Organism: Hyaena hyaena (striped hyena)
Lineage: Eukaryota; Metazoa; Chordata; Mammalia; Carnivora; Hyaenidae
Exons: 3
Source: RefSeq, a predicted model, not a curated record